GCUGGGUGUGGUGGCUCACACCUGUAAUCCCAGCACUUUGGGAGGCUGAGGCUGGUGGAUCACCUGAGGUCAGGAGUUCGAGACCAGCCUGGCCAACAUGGUGAAACCCCGUCUCUA
Molecule: unclassified non-coding RNA, 117 nt
Organism: Macaca mulatta (Rhesus monkey)
Lineage: Eukaryota; Metazoa; Chordata; Mammalia; Primates; Cercopithecidae
Rfam family: Metazoan signal recognition particle RNA
About the family: The signal recognition particle (SRP) is a universally conserved ribonucleoprotein. It is involved in the co-translational targeting of proteins to membranes.
Source: Ensembl